This 66-nucleotide transfer RNA is filed under the name Hierodula membranacea. RNAcentral describes it as "tRNA-Gln". The record is from RNAcentral. Lineage: Eukaryota; Metazoa; Arthropoda; Insecta; Mantodea; Mantidae.
UUAAAAUUAAAGUUGGGAAUUUAUUUCCUGCCUGUUGAGGGCAGGGGAAAAAUCUGUGUAAUUAGA